This 355-nucleotide ribosomal RNA is filed under the name Babesia vogeli. Its description in RNAcentral is "SSU rRNA". It matches the Rfam family "Eukaryotic small subunit ribosomal RNA", at positions 461 to 871 of the family's 1831-position model. The record is from RNAcentral. Lineage: Eukaryota; Apicomplexa; Aconoidasida; Piroplasmida; Babesiidae.
GAGGUAGUGACAAGAAAUAACAAUACAGGGCUAAUGUCUUGUAAUUGGAAUGAUGGUGACCCAAACCCUCACCAGAGUAGCAAUUGGAGGGCAAGUCUGGUGCCAGCAGCCGCGGUAAUUCCAGCUCCAAUAGCGUAUAUUAAACUUGUUGCAGUUAAAAAGCUCGUAGUUGAAUUUUAGCGUGUUCGAGUUUGCCAUUCGUUUGGCUUUUUCGAGUUCGCUUUUGGGUUUUCCCUUUUUACUUUGAGAAAAUUAGAGUGUUUCAAGCAGACUUUUGUCUUGAAUACUUCAGCAUGGAAUAAUAGAGUAGGACUUUGGUUCUAUUUUGUUGGUUAUUGAACCUUAGUAAUGGUUA